Molecule: transfer RNA, 44 nt
Filed under: Vitis thunbergii
Lineage: Eukaryota; Viridiplantae; Streptophyta; Magnoliopsida; Vitales; Vitaceae
Description: partial tRNA-His
Source: RNAcentral
GGCGGAUGUAGCCAAGUGGAUCAAGGCAGUGGAUUUGGGAAUCC